Oncorhynchus keta (chum salmon) is the source of this 1102-nucleotide long non-coding RNA. RefSeq lists it as uncharacterized. The transcript is spliced from 2 exons. The record is from RefSeq and is a predicted model, not a curated record. NCBI's taxonomy places the organism in Eukaryota, Metazoa, Chordata, Actinopteri, Salmoniformes, Salmonidae.
GUGUCUCAUAACACCAGCUGGUAAAGCUCUGUCUGGAUGAGGGAAUGUUGUUGUGUCUCAUAACACCGGCUGGUAAAGCUCUGUCUGGAUGAGGGAAUGUUGUUGUGUCUCAUAACACCGGCUGGUAAAGCUCUGUCUGGAUGAGGGAAUGUUGUUGUGUCUCAUAACACCGGCUGGUAAAGCUCUGUCUGGAUGAGGGAAUGUUGUUGUGUCUCAUAACACCGGCUGGUAAAGCUCUGUCUGGAUGAGGGAAUGUUGUUGUGUCUCAUAACACCGGCUGGUAAAGCUCUGUCUGGAUGAGGGAAUGUUGUUGUGUCUCAUAACACCGGCUGGUAAAGCUCUGUCUGGAUGAGGGAAUGUUGUUGUGUCUCAUAACACCGGCUGGUAAAGCUCUGUCUGGAUGAGGGAAUGUUGUUGUGUCUCAUAACACCGGCUGGUAAAGCUCUGUCUGGAUGAGGGAUUGUUGUUGUGUCUCAUAACACCGGCUGGUAAAGCUCUGUCUGGAUGAGGGAAUGUUGUUGUGUCUCAUAACACCGGCUGGUAAAGCUCUGUCUGGAUGAGGGAAUGUUGUUGUGUCUCAUAACACCGGCUGGUAAAGCUCUGUCUGGAUGAGGGAAGGUUGUUGUGUCUCAUAACACCGGCUGGUAAAGCUCUGUCUGGAUGAGGGAAUGUUGUUGUGUCUCAUAACACCGGCUGGUAAAGCUCUGUCUGGAUGAGGGAAUGUUGUUGUGUCUCAUAACACCAGCUGGUAAAGCUCUGUCUGGAUGAGGGAAUGUUGUUGUGUCUCAUAACACCGGCUGGUAAAGCUCUGUCUGGAUGAGGGAAUGUUGUUGUGUCAGAAGGACAUCAAAAUGUCACAUAAGUAUGUGACUUGUAAUUAUAUAUUUUAGAUGUUUAUAUUCAUACGCCAGAUGUCGUUUGUAAGCCUAGUUUUUGUUCUCUCAAAGUGUUCAGUUGGAUGGAUUGUGCAACAGGUGAUGGUUAUCUUUUGGGUUUUUUCCGACAGCAAAAUGUGCUCACUAUAACAUGAAGUGUAUGGAGCAAUGUUUGGUUUGGAUCUGAAAUUAAUGGAUGAUGAAAAUAAACAUGGUCAGUUGUUGCA